RNAcentral lists this ribosomal RNA (421 nucleotides) under Fusobacteriota bacterium. Its description in RNAcentral is "Fusobacteria bacterium partial 16S ribosomal RNA". It matches the Rfam family "Bacterial small subunit ribosomal RNA", at positions 355 to 776 of the family's 1533-position model. Lineage: Bacteria; Fusobacteriati; Fusobacteriota. The record is from RNAcentral.
UGGGGAAUAUUGCACAAUGGACGGAAGUUUGAUGCAGCGACGCCGCGUGGCGGGUGUAGGCCUUCGGGUUGUGAACUCCUUUUUCUCGCGAAAAAGGCACAGUUUUGGCUGUGUUGAUGGUAGUGGGGGAAGAAGCGCCGGCUAACUACGUGCCAGCAGCCGCGGUAAUACGUAGGGCGCGAGCGUUGUCCGGAUUUAUUGGGCGUAAAGAGCUCGUAGGUGGUUCGUCGCGUCUGUCGUGAAAGCCAGCAGCUUAACUGUUGGUCUGCGGUGGGUACGGGCGGGCUUGAGUGCGGUAGGGGUGACUGGAAUUCCUGGUGUAGCGGUGGAAUGCGCAGAUAUCAGGAGGAACACCGAUGGCGAAGGCAGGUCACUGGGCCGUUACUGACACUGAGGAGCGAAAGCGUGGGGAGCGAACAGG